GACAGAGGGUGCAAACGUUGUUCGGAAUUACUGGGCGUAAAGCGCGUGUAGGCGGCUAUGCAAGUCGGGCGUGAAAUCCCGCGGCUCAACCGUGGAAGUGCACUCGAAACUGCGUAGCUAGAGUCCUGGAGAGGAAGGCGGAAUACUUGGUGUAGAGGUGAAAUUCGUAGAUAUCAAGUGGAACACCGGUGGCGAAGGCGGCCUUCUGGACAGUGACUGACGCUGAGACGCGAAAGCGUGGGGAGCAAACAGG
Molecule: ribosomal RNA, 253 nt
Filed under: uncultured bacterium
Lineage: Bacteria
Description: partial 16S ribosomal RNA
Rfam family: Bacterial small subunit ribosomal RNA
Source: RNAcentral